AUUUAUGUAGUUUAAUUUAAAACAAUACACUUUCAUUGUAUAAAUAAUUUAUUUAAUAAUUCUUAAAUU
Molecule: transfer RNA, 69 nt
Filed under: Rhyacophila quadrifida
Lineage: Eukaryota; Metazoa; Arthropoda; Insecta; Trichoptera; Rhyacophilidae
Description: tRNA-Glu
Source: RNAcentral